UAAAAAUUUUGAUUUUGCUAUUGUAAUGUGAAAAUGUGAAAUGAAUGUGAAAAAUGAGUAAGUGCUAGUGGAUAAAUAAUCCUACAGUAUUCAUGUUCAAAGAAUACUAUUAUAUUCCUGUCUGAAAGCUAUGUUCUUUAUUUAGAGAAAUUUACUUGCUAAUUGAAACUCAAAUGCUAUUGAAGCAUUGUUUGCAGAUUUCUAACUUCUGGCUUAAUGCAGAGAAAAUGUGGUCUUAUAAAACUUGGAAAACAUUUAUGUUAAUCAUUUUUAUUGACAUGUCUUCCCUCUAGACCGUUAGAAAGUAAAGGUAGUCAAAACUGAAGUUCCGAAGAGGAAAAAUGAAACUAGUAAACUCUAUUGACAUCUCACUUCCUAAGAAUUUCAGCAUACAGUUUGCCCAUACAAGUUCCAUUAAAGUUAAUGGGAGUCGUGUGACUAAUUCUCUCUGUAGGGUACUAAAAAUGUACCCUGCAGUAUUAAAAAGUCUGAACCUAAUUUUUACUUUCUCUUAACCUUGAUCAUGUUACACUAAAGAUAGAUAUUUUCAUUAUCACACACAUAUAUUGUAAUCUUUGUAUAAAGAUUUGAAAAUAAUCUGUUUGGUGGAGAAGCUGAAUUUAUGUGGGUCAGAGCCGAAUUUUAAUUAGUAUUGCAAAUAUGAGUACUGGUUUCAUUACAAUGAUAAAACAAGCCUAAGUAUCUGUAAUUUACCCUCUAGCAAUACAAAUGAGAACUUAAACCUCAAUGAAUUCAAUAAAUGAAACAUUUUCAGAACACUUACUUAAAAUCAGGUCUACUUUUUAAUCAGUCAUGUUUUAAGUGAAUGCUUAUUAAUAGAGUAUUAAUAAAACAUGCUUAUGG
RNAcentral lists this long non-coding RNA (864 nucleotides) under Bos taurus (domestic cattle). Its description in RNAcentral is "long non-coding RNA NONBTAT006263". The record is from RNAcentral. Lineage: Eukaryota; Metazoa; Chordata; Mammalia; Artiodactyla; Bovidae.